RNAcentral lists this small RNA (546 nucleotides) under Pan troglodytes (chimpanzee). RNAcentral's name for it is "processed transcript". Lineage: Eukaryota; Metazoa; Chordata; Mammalia; Primates; Hominidae. The record is from RNAcentral.
AGACAUGGGCAGGUGGAUUGGGAUUUUACUUGCAGAGACGGGAUCCUCCACAGACCCGGAGGCUCUGCACUAUGACUACAUUGAUGUGGAGAUGUCUGCAAGUGUCAUUCAGACAGCCAAACAGACCUUCUGGUCCUGCCAGAUGAGCCUGUCAGAGGCAUCCUGCAGUGGCUCUUCCCAGCACAGAAGCAGGAGUGGAGCCCCCCAGGGCCUCUGUUCUGACCCCAUCCUUUGUCCCUGCUGCAGCAGGGCGAGUGCAGGGCAUAUGCUGGAAACUGAAGAUGCAAGCCCGUGAGAGACGUGCCUGCCGCUGGAAGGAGAAAGACCCAAGGCAGUACGGCCCAGGGCACAGGGGAGGGGAUGGUCCCUGUGGCCAGGCUUUAUUCAUUCCUCCAUUUACUGCCUCUCACUGACAAAAAGUAUACAUAGCGCUGUCUCCCUAAAAGCCUUCCAAUGAGGCAUUUAAUUAGAAAACCUUAAAUAUGUAUUUUUUAAAAAUCAAAAUCUUUUACUGUGGAACUCUUAAAUGUUCAAGUUUUGCUGUGC